Molecule: long non-coding RNA, 1057 nt
Filed under: Equus caballus (horse)
Lineage: Eukaryota; Metazoa; Chordata; Mammalia; Perissodactyla; Equidae
Description: lncRNA (ENSECAG00000047992.1)
Source: RNAcentral
GUGCUUCCUUCACUUCCUCAGUGAAAUGGACAAAACACUGUACCUGAGGUUUGUUGCAAAACUGAAAUAAGUUGAUAAAUGACACACGUUCAAAAUUGCAGGGCAGGUAAGACAUGAGGCAGGUCAAAUUACCUGCCUCUACAAAUAGAUUAAAGAUGCAUCAGCAACACUGAAGAAAGAGACUUGAAGGAGGCUUGUUUUAGAAAGCAAGCAAAGAAAUAUUUUCCUUAACGCUGUACAUGGUGAGAAACUACAUAGCGUCCCAAUGACUUUCCAUCAAAGACUCCUGCAGAACUGGCAAAAUCUGUGUGACGUAAGUCAAUUACGAUUGAUUCACUGGAUCAGAUUAACUUGUGAACUCAGCACAUUCUAGGCAGUCGAGCACCCAGCCCUGCUGCAGAGUUUCAUGGGGCUCCCAGAGCAUGCCCUCCGCCAGAGUCAAUUCCCGCUUACCCUGCUCUCCCAAAGAUGGCAUUAACACUUCCGUUGUGUGUGCUGCCAUCUUAAAGCCAUUUCUCACAAACUUUGCACCAUUUGAUUCUCACAACCACCUGUAGGUAGGAUAACAGGACUGCAAAACAAGGGAAAUGAGACUCAGAGUGAGUAUUUUACCCAAAAUCAUUCAACUUGUAAGUGUCAGAGCCAGAACUCAGAUUCUCUGACUGUAUCUCAUGUUCUUUUAGCCCAUAAGGGAGGUCCUAGAACUUUAUUUGUUCCUUGGUUAUAGUAUUUACCAAGACUCUCUUCUUUUUUUUUUCUUUUUUCAUCUUUAUUGAGAUAUAACUGACAAAUAAAAUUGGGAAAGGCCAUCUACUUAUUCGUGUUUUAUAUUAAUGUACGAGAGAGAUGUCUUCCUGAAAGUGAAGCCCCAGGUCCCGUUCAUCUCUGGAGUCCCUCCCCCAGCAUUCGUACCAGUGCCUGGGAGAUCCGGCACUCAGGAUGUGUUUGGCUGUUUUAAUGUUUUAAACUACAAGUACAGCAUUUUAUCCGUCACAUCGCCUUGUUAAACAGGAGAACAAGAAAAGAGGCACCAUGACUGCACGAAAUAUGUGUCGAA